GUCUAUGGCCAUGCCACCCUGAACAAGCCCGAUCCUGUCUGAUCUCAGAAGCUAAGCAGGGUCGGGCCUGGUUACUACUUGGAUGGGAGACCACCUAGGAAGACCAGGUGCUGAUGGCA
Non-coding RNA from Pteropus alecto (black flying fox), 119 nucleotides. Lineage: Eukaryota; Metazoa; Chordata; Mammalia; Chiroptera; Pteropodidae. The record is from Rfam.